Molecule: ribosomal RNA, 465 nt
Filed under: uncultured bacterium
Lineage: Bacteria
Description: partial 16S ribosomal RNA
Rfam family: Bacterial small subunit ribosomal RNA
Source: RNAcentral
CCUACGGGAGGCAGCAGUGGGGAAUAUUGCGCAAUGGGCGAAAGCCUGACGCAGCGACGCCGCGUGAGGGACGAAGGUCUUCGGAUCGUAAACCUCUGUCAGCAGGGAAGAACGGUCACUGUGCUAAUCAGCAGUGAAUUGACGGUACCUGCAAAGGAAGCACCGGCUAACUCCGUGCCAGCAGCCGCGGUAAUCCGGAGGGUGCGAGCGUUAAUCGGAAUUACUGGGCGUAAAGCGCUCGUAGGCGGUAUGUCAAGUCAAGGGUGAAAUCCCCGCGCUCAACGUGGGAACUGCCUUUGAAACUGGCAAACUGGAGUGUGUGAGAGGAUAGUGGAAUUCCAGGUGUAGGAGUGAAAGCCGUAGAUAUCUGGAGGAACAUCAGUGGCGAAGGCGACUAUCUGGCACAUAACUGACGCUGAGGAGCGAAAGCGUGGGUAGCAAACAGGAUUAGAUACCCUUGUAGUC